Molecule: long non-coding RNA, 701 nt
Filed under: Homo sapiens (human)
Lineage: Eukaryota; Metazoa; Chordata; Mammalia; Primates; Hominidae
Description: non-protein coding lnc-SLC2A12-10:1
Source: RNAcentral
GUUCCCUGUCACCUGCCAUGGUGACUGGUCCCCCAAGCAGGUGCACAAGAACUACCACCAGAACUUGGAGGUCACCGUCAACCACCAGAUCAACUUUGAGCUCAACACUUCCCCAUCUACCUGUCAAUGUCUUGUUAUUUUAACUGCGAUUAUGUGGCUUUGAAAAACUUUGACAAUUUCCUCACCAAUCUCAUGAGGAGAGGGGACAUGCUGAGAAACUGUUGAAGUUGCAGAACCAACAAAGUGGCCAAAUCUUCCUUCAGGAUAUCAAGAAACUAGGCCAUGGCCACUGGGAGAGUGGGCCGAAUGCAACGGCAUACGUUGCAUUUGAAUAAAAGCAUGAAUCAGCUACAAAUGAUCACUGAAAAAAAGAGACCCCAUUUGUGUGGCUUCAUUGAUAUUCAUUACCUGAAUGAGUAGGUAAAAUCCAGUAAACGUGAGUGACCACUGAAACCAGCUUGCAUGAGAUAGGGGCCCUGGAAUCUGGCACGGCCAAGUAUGUCUUCGACAAGCUCACCCUGAGAGACAGUGAUGCUGACAGCUUAACCUUAGGUUGGUUCCCUCAUAGCCAAGGGAGUGACUUCCACCAAGGCAGUGCAUGCAUUUGGGUUUAUCUUUAUCUUUUUCUAUAAGUUGUACCAAGACAUCCAUUUAAGUUCUUUCAUGUGUACUAUGUUUUCAAAUAAAGUAAUUUGGUAACC